Aquila chrysaetos chrysaetos is the source of this 1930-nucleotide RNA transcript. It is a transcript of the gene named dual specificity phosphatase 12, with no coding region annotated. The transcript has 7 exons. Lineage: Eukaryota; Metazoa; Chordata; Aves; Accipitriformes; Accipitridae. The record is from RefSeq and is a predicted model, not a curated record.
GGCGGCGGCGGCUGCGCCGCCAUCUUGGGGGCGGCACCCCGCUCAGCCGCGGCGGCUCCGCCGCCAUGUCGGUGGUUCCCGGUUGCCGGGGCGGCGGCGGCGGGAUGGUGCCGGUCCUACCGGGGCUCUACGUGGGCGGCGCGGAAUCGUGCUCGUCCCCGGAGUCGCUGUCGGCGGCGGGGGUGGUGGCGGUGCUAACGGUGGAGGCGGAGGAGGAGGAGGAACCGCCGCCGGGGAUGCGGGCCAUGCACGUCCGGGCGCGGGACGAGCCCGGCGCCGACCUGCUGAGCCGCCUGGACGACUGCGCCGCCUUCAUCGACGCGGCGAGGGCGGACGGCGGCGCCGUCCUCGUCCGCUGCCGGGCCGGGGUGAGCCGCAGCGUGGCCGUGGUGACCGCCUACCUCAUGAAGAAGGAGGGACUCGGCUGGGAGGAGGCUUACGCCGUCGUCAGGACCGCCAAACCCGACGCCGAGGUGAACCCGGGUUUCCAAGGGCAGCUGAAGCUCUACGAAGCCAUGGGCUGCGCCGUAGACAGCAGCAGCGCCUUCUACAAGCGGUACCGGCUGCAGAUGCUCACGGAGAGGUACCCCGAAAUGAACGCAGAAGGCCGUGUCAGAGGAGGUUGGCUUCGAGUAUCGCCCUCGGAGCAGCCGAGCCUUGAGUUGGCUAGCCAAACGUUCGUACCGGCCCUAGAGAAUUGCUGCUCAUCGGUGGGGGAAAAAAGUGUCUUUGAGAGAUGCCUGAGAAAUAAGAUCCGUAAGGAACUGUUCUCUUUAGCAAAACGCAGAAAUGGUAAAGAACUUCAAGACUUGCCCCGAGAAGUCUUUGCUGUUGAUCCAACCAAUAUAUGUCAAACUCCGAACACAGAGGUUCUCUACAGGUGCAGGAAAUGCAGGGCAGGCGCGCUCUGUUCCGUGGUUCCAGCAUUUUGUCCCACGUGGAAGGAAGCGGACCGACAGCCUUUGCCCACAAGAGGAUAACAGACUCUGCUCAGCUCUGUGGCGAUAGCCGCGAAAAGUGUACCUCUUACUUCACCGAGCCUGUGCAGUGGAUGGAGCCAGCGUUGCUCGGAGUAAUGGAAGGACAGCUUCUGUGUCCGAAAUGCACGUCGAAGCUGGGCUCCUUCAGCUGGCGGGGUGAGCAGUGUUCCUGUGGCCGCUGGGUGACGCCUGCCUUCCAGAUCCACAAAAGCCGAGUGGACGAAGUGAGGACGCUGCCAGGUGGUAACUUCCAAACUGCCAAAACCUGAACUCGUCGCUUCUCUCGAUGGGUUUCUUAAGGUCUGCAGAGAACUGCUGGCUAGUCCAUGGUUGCCAGGAGCGAGCUUGUGACUUCCACCUCUUUGUAAUGCAGUGGGAUUACUUGGAACAUCUGCUCUAUUCGAGCUUGCUGUAUCUCUAAUAUAUAUAAUAUAUAAAAGAGCAAAAUAAUUCCUUCAAAGAGGUGUUACACAGUGGUCAAAUAUGUACAAAAAUACCCGAAUGUCAUGUUUUUAGCAUAUUCUCACUUCAUCUGUUGCUAUUUAGAGAAGGUCUCGACUCCUUAUUUAAAAGGAAUGCCAACAUGUUACUUUCAGGCUGUGGCCAGCAGUGCUGCUUGUCUUCCGAUCCAAAGUUCCAAGUGGUUUGUCUGAAGCAGGCAGCUGAGAUUGUAGGAGGUGCAUUCCACAUCAUGAGGUACGCGGCAAGGAAAUAUUUUAAGGCUUGGCCAAGUGCCAUAAAAUGGUACAAUUACAAUUGUUGCAUGAGCAUGCAUGGCAGCUACUAGCAGUGAAAGGGAAGUUUACAGUUAUACUUUCAUUGUAAUAAAAGUAGUCCUAAAAAUAUCCGCCACAAGAAUAUUUACUACAUUGUAACUUUUAUGUAAUAUCUGAGGAGAUUAUGCAAGCUGUACUGGAAUAGGAGAACUGAAGUAAAGUGUCCCUGCCAAA